This 471-nucleotide ribosomal RNA is filed under the name Streptococcus sp. oral taxon 066. Its description in RNAcentral is "bacterial SSU rRNA". It matches the Rfam family "Bacterial small subunit ribosomal RNA", at positions 28 to 481 of the family's 1533-position model. Lineage: Bacteria; Bacillati; Bacillota; Bacilli; Lactobacillales; Streptococcaceae. The record is from RNAcentral.
GAUGAACGCUGGCGGCGUGCCUAAUACAUGCAAGUAGAACGCUGAAGCUUGGUGCUUGCACCGAGCGGAUGAGUUGCGAACGGGUGAGUAACGCGUAGGUAACCUGCCUGGUAGCGGGGGAUAACUAUUGGAAACGAUAGCUAAUACCGCAUAACAGUCGACAUUGCAUGAUGUUGAUUUGAAAGGGGCAAUUGCUCCACUACCAGAUGGACCUGCGUUGUAUUAGCUAGUUGGUGAGGUAACGGCUCACCAAGGCGACGAUACAUAGCCGACCUGAGAGGGUGAUCGGCCACACUGGGACUGAGACACGGCCCAGACUCCUACGGGAGGCAGCAGUAGGGAAUCUUCGGCAAUGGACGGAAGUCUGACCGAGCAACGCCGCGUGAGUGAAGAAGGUUUUCGGAUCGUAAAGCUCUGUUGUAAGAGAAGAACGAGUGUGAGAGUGGAAAGUUCACACUGUGACGGUAACUU